RNAcentral lists this ribosomal RNA (433 nucleotides) under uncultured bacterium. RNAcentral describes it as "partial 16S ribosomal RNA". It matches the Rfam family "Bacterial small subunit ribosomal RNA", at positions 29 to 507 of the family's 1533-position model. The record is from RNAcentral.
AACGAACGCUGGCGGCAUGCCUAACACAUGCAAGUCGAACGAGACCUUCGGGUGUAUUGGCGCACGGGGGCGUAACGCGUGGGAACCUGCCCUUAGGUUCGGAAUAACUCCCCGAAAGGGGUGCUAAUACCGGAUAAGGUCUUCGGACCAAAGAUUUAUCGCCUUUGGAUGGGCCCGCGUUGGAUUAGCUAGUUGGUAGGGUAAAAGCCUACCAAGGCGACGAUCCAUAGCUGGUCUGAGAGGAUGAUCAGCCACACUGGGACUGAGACACGGCCCAGACUCCUACGGGAGGCAGCAGUGGGGAAUAUUGGACCAUGGGCGAAAGCCUGAUCCAGCAAUGCCGCGUGAGUGAUGAAGGCCUUAGGGUUGUAAAGCUCUUUUACCCGGGAUGAUAAUGACAGUACCGGGAGAAUAAGCUCCGGCUAACUCCGUG